GUAGAGAGUUUCCAAAUUUGCAUUUGCACAAGAAAAAAAGAGAGACAAAAGUCGUGUUGGGCGGGAAAAUGAAGCUUCUCACGAAUAUCGAGAAAAAAGAAGAAGGUGAUUUUUGAAGCCCGCCUCGCUAAUUUCGCCUUUCACUCUCUCAUUUCUCUCUUUCCUAUUUUGGCGUCUCAUCUCCCCCAGCUCGUUCUUGAACCCUACAAUUCAGAAGAAAGUUAAGCUUCUUAUUACAUUCAAAGAUGGUGGUUCCGUGCGUUGCCGAGCUUUCCGAUCCUGUCAAUGAUGCGAUGGUCCCGAGGCGUUGCAGUGCGAGAAUAAAAAAAUUGAAGAGUGAGCAGGAAGCUCAGCGUGAGCGUGAGAGUCAGAGAGUACGGUGCCGCUCCAAUGACGACUCAGUUCUUGGGAAGAAAACCAAGGUUUAUAAGAAGAGCAAGCUUGUUACUCCCUCACAAGCUCAAACUCAAGCUCCUAAUAAUGACGUCACAGUUGCCACUGUUGAUAACGAUGACGUCACUAUAACCAAUGUUGGUGCGCCAAUUGACUGUACCGAUCAUCCUGUCCCCGAAAACUCUCUGAAUCCCCAGCUUAGCGGGAACGGGACUGAAAAAAGUUCGCAUGCCAGGGUGACAGAGACUCUGCGGAUAUUUAACAAGCAUUAUCUCCAUUUCGUUCAGGAAGAGGAGAUAAGAUGUGGAAGAGCCCAAGCAGAUCAAAAAACAAAGAAACAUUCAAAAUCUAAGGAAGCCGAAGAUGAUGGUAAACGCAGUUCCAAGCGGCCUGAUCUAAAGGCGAUUUCCAAGAUGAUAUCAGAAAAGGAGGUUUUGAAUCGUGAGAGAAUUGGCUCCCUUCCAGGCAUUGAUGUUGGUCAUCAGUUCUUUUCGCGUGCUGAGAUGGUCGUUGCGGGAUUCCAUAACCAUUGGCUAAACGGCAUAGAUUGUGUUGGCCAAUCUGCAGGGAAAAAAGGGGAGUACAAAGGCUACAGUUUGCCCCUUGCGGUUUCAAUUGUCGUAUCGGGACAGUAUGAAGACGACCAGGACAACUAUGAAGAAGUGGUCUAUACUGGUCAAGGUGGAAAUGAUCUGCUUGGUAACAAGCGCCAAAUAAAGGAUCAAGUCAUGGAACGGGGUAAUUUAGGACUUAAGAACUGUAUGGAGCAAUCUGUACCUGUAAGGGUUACACGUGGACAUCGGUGUGUGAAUAGUUACGUUGGAAAGGUUUAUACUUAUGAUGGCUUGUAUAAGGUUGUAAAUUACUGGGCGGAGAAGGGUAUUUCUGGAUUCACUGUCUAUAAGUUUCGAUUAAAGCGUAUUGAAGGACAACCUGUGUUGACCACCAACCAGGUACAUUUUACUCGAGGCUGUACUCCCAACUCCAUUUCUGAAAUACGAGGGUUGGUAUGUGAGGACAUUUCUGGUGGACUGGAGGAUAUUCCCAUUCCCGCAACUAAUUUAGUUGAUGAUCCACCGGCAGCACCGUCAGGUUUUACUUAUAGCAGGGAUAUCGUAUGUGCCAAAGGUAUAAAGUUCCCUUCAGCUCCCACAGGAUGCAACUGUCAUGGUUCAUGUCUAGAUCCAAGAGUUUGUUCUUGCGCUAAACUCAAUGGUUCUGAAUUUCCCUAUGUUCAUAAAGAUGGUGGAAGACUUAUUGAGCCAAAGGCUGUAGUCUUUGAAUGUGGUCCGAAUUGUGGAUGCGGACCUGCCUGUGUCAACCGUACUUCUCAGAAAGGAUUAAGAUAUCGGCUUGAGGUUUUUCGUACUCCAAACAAGGGAUGGGGUGUGAGAUCAUGGGAUUAUAUUCCUUCUGGUGCAACCAUUUGUGAAUACACUGGUCUUUUGAAGAAGACAGAUCAGAUUGAUCCUGCAGCAGAUAACAACUAUGUUUUUGACAUUGAUUGCUUGCAAACAAUGAAAGGGCUCGAUGGGAGGGAGAGACGGUUGCGUGAGGUUUCUUUGCCGGGAUAUUGGCACAAUGAUUCUGAGAAGAUGUCAGACGGAGGGCCAGAAUAUUGCAUUGAUGCAGUCUCUGUUGGCAAUGUUGCAAGGUUUAUUAAUCAUAGUUGUCAACCUAAUUUAUUUGUUCAAUGUGUGUUAAGCACCCAUCAUGACAUUGGUUUGGCAAGAGUGGUGCUAAUGGCAGCUGACAACAUACCUCCUCUGCAGGGUCCGUUAUGGAAAGUGGGGCUACGAUAAGAAGAUUGUGUUCAAGAAUCACGGGAAAUGUAAAAGAUACUAAAGGGUUAUAUGAGAGAUUCUUUGUAGAGAACAGUGAGAACAUGUUCUGUAGCUUUUCUAAAGGAACUCACAUAUGAUUAUGGCUAUGUUCUGGAUAGUGUUAUGGAUCGUGAGGGGAAAGUUAAACAAAUGGCUUGCUACUGUGGUGCUGCUGACUGUCGUAAACGCUUGUUUUAAUGGGAUAUGUGUUGUCUUUAGCUCACAAUUACAUAUUUUUUGGGUUUCCAUAUGCUGAUUUCUCAUCUUCUGCACUUGUGUGUAGUGGAUACUAACGUUGGGAAAUUUGGUCAAGUGUUAUAUAUUGUAUUUUCCAAUGAGAAACGAACUUGUUAAUUUGAUUUCACAUUCAUCACCUAA
This is a non-coding RNA of Solanum lycopersicum (tomato), 2594 nucleotides long. The record is from RefSeq and is a predicted model, not a curated record. NCBI's taxonomy places the organism in Eukaryota, Viridiplantae, Streptophyta, Magnoliopsida, Solanales, Solanaceae.